UUUUAGCUUGCUAGAAAGUUGGUUAAUGGGGCCCGGGUGAGUAAUGCAUAGGUUAUGUGCCCCAUAGUCUGGGAUAGCCACUGGAAACGGUGAUUAAUACUGGAUACUCCUUACGCAGGGAAAGUUUUUCGCUAUGGGAUCAGCCUAUGUCCUAUCAGCUUGUUGGUGAGGUAAUGGCUCACCAAGGCUAUGACGGGUAUCCGGCCUGAGAGGGUGAACGGACACACUGGAACUGAGACACGGUCCAGACUCCUACGGGAGGCAGCAGUAGGGAAUAUUGCUCAAUGGGCGAAAGCCUGAAGCAGCAACGCCGCGUGGAGGAUGAAGGUUUU
Molecule: ribosomal RNA, 332 nt
Filed under: uncultured Helicobacter sp.
Lineage: Bacteria; Pseudomonadati; Campylobacterota; Epsilonproteobacteria; Campylobacterales; Helicobacteraceae
Description: bacterial SSU rRNA
Rfam family: Bacterial small subunit ribosomal RNA
Source: RNAcentral